GUUGAAACACCGAUUCCCAUACACUCACCGAAGUUAAGCUACGUUGACCCUGGUCAGUACCUAGAUGGGUGACCGUUUGGGAAUAGCGGAUACUGA
Molecule: non-coding RNA, 96 nt
Organism: Acanthosepion pharaonis
Lineage: Eukaryota; Metazoa; Mollusca; Cephalopoda; Sepiida; Sepiidae
Source: the annotation of a GenBank genome assembly